UUUUAGACCUAGGAGAAGACCCCAACCUAGCGCCGUUUCCAUCAGCUCUAAGCAGACCCCUCCUUCUCCAUCUUCUUUCUUCUUUUUUCAUUCUUACACAACACAGAAGAAGAGAUCCCCUCCCAAGCAGAAGAAAACAACGGACAUCUCCUGCUAACCAAAAUUCGAAAGCAAAAGAAGUCAUCAAAAAAUAAAAAUAAAAAUAAGACCAUUGUCCAAUUUCAUCAAAGAGACACACACCGAUACAGAAGAAAACCUUUUCCUCUUUUCUAUAAUUCUCAAAUCCGGGAAUUUCGCAAGCUAAAAAUGGGGUUCCAACCUGUUUUAAUCGGAAUUUGGAAUCAAGUCUGAUGUUCAUGUGCUGUUGAGCUUAUUCCCUGCAUUUUCAAACCUUUAUUUGGUCGUUGUUAUCUAUUUUUCUGUUAUAGGGCUUUUAGCGAGAGACAGUCCAUGAUGUUUUUAGCAUCCACUGUUCGUGAACCAUUGCAGUGCACUUCUUCUCACUGUUCCCUGCACAUAUAAAUCAUGGGUUAGAUUUAGGAACCCAAACUAGUUUGGGUCCCUUGUUAUGAGAAAAGGGAUAGAUGAGAGCUUUUCUAGUCCAUGCAGGCAAUAUUCGUUUCUUGCGAGCGGUACCUGGUCCCUUUUUAGUAGUCACUUUUUCAGUAAACACUUUAUUUUUCUGAACAGAUUGAACCCUAGCCUGACAGUUUUCUUUGAAGUGCUCAUUGUUCCCACAGUGACGUACUUGCUAUGAGGGUUGUAGGGAGUUUUCUCCUUUUGGAACCCGAUUCAUUGCCUGUUUCCACUAUUGUUGAAGUAUAUGGCAGUGACAACAUCUAA
Long non-coding RNA from Nicotiana tabacum (common tobacco), 843 nucleotides. RefSeq lists it as uncharacterized. Lineage: Eukaryota; Viridiplantae; Streptophyta; Magnoliopsida; Solanales; Solanaceae. The record is from RefSeq and is a predicted model, not a curated record.